RNAcentral lists this ribosomal RNA (850 nucleotides) under Mycobacterium sp. Its description in RNAcentral is "bacterial SSU rRNA". It matches the Rfam family "Bacterial small subunit ribosomal RNA", at positions 65 to 932 of the family's 1533-position model. The record is from RNAcentral. Lineage: Bacteria; Bacillati; Actinomycetota; Actinomycetes; Mycobacteriales; Mycobacteriaceae.
AACGGAAAGGCCCUUCGGGGUACUCGAGUGGCGAACGGGUGAGUAACACGUGGGUGAUCUGCCCUGCACUUUGGGAUAAGCCUGGGAAACUGGGUCUAAUACCGAAUAUGAUCAUCGGCUUCAUGGUCGGUGGUGGAAAGCUUUUGCGGUGUGGGAUGGGCCCGCGGCCUAUCAGCUUGUUGGUGGGGUAAUGGCCUACCAAGGCGACGACGGGUAGCCGGCCUGAGAGGGUGACCGGCCACACUGGGACUGAGAUACGGCCCAGACUCCUACGGGAGGCAGCAGUGGGGAAUAUUGCACAAUGGGCGCAAGCCUGAUGCAGCGACGCCGCGUGAGGGAUGACGGCCUUCGGGUUGUAAACCUCUUUCAAUAGGGACGAAGCGCAAGUGACGGUACCUAUAGAAGAAGGACCGGCCAACUACGUGCCAGCAGCCGCGGUAAUACGUAGGGUCCGAGCGUUGUCCGGAAUUACUGGGCGUAAAGAGCUCGUAGGUGGUUUGUCGCGUUGUUCGUGAAAACUCACAGCUUAACUGUGGGCGUGCGGGCGAUACGGGCAGACUGGAGUACUGCAGGGGAGACUGGAAUUCCUGGUGUAGCGGUGGAAUGCGCAGAUAUCAGGAGGAACACCGGUGGCGAAGGCGGGUCUCUGGGCAGUAACUGACGCUGAGGAGCGAAAGCGUGGGGAGCGAACAGGAUUAGAUACCCUGGUAGUCCACGCCGUAAACGGUGGGUACUAGGUGUGGGUUUCCUUCCUUGGGAUCCGUGCCGUAGCUAACGCAUUAAGUACCCCGCCUGGGGAGUACGGCCGCAAGGCUAAACUCAAAGGAAUUGACGGGGGCCCGCACAGCGG